Long non-coding RNA from Monopterus albus (swamp eel), 586 nucleotides. RefSeq lists it as uncharacterized. The transcript is spliced from 5 exons. Lineage: Eukaryota; Metazoa; Chordata; Actinopteri; Synbranchiformes; Synbranchidae. The record is from RefSeq and is a predicted model, not a curated record.
CUGCAACAUGUAUUGCACUCAGACGGUCAAUCAAUCAAUCAGGUCCCGCCCUCCGAAGAGGAGCAGGUGGGGGUGAUUAAAACUUAUCAAACCUUCGGUGAAAGUGUGGACGGCUGCAACGGCGAGAGAAGCUUUGCUAACAAACAAACAAAGUGGCGGCUUAAAUGAGGAACCACAGCGGGACGUCAGUAGAUACGGUUCGUCUCCACCACAGGACUUCAGAUAAUAGUACCAGCUGGAGUCAGAGCCCCUGAGCCAAUGUGAGUUGCUACGAGGUGCGGCUGUUGCCAAGCAACAAGGUGACAUCCCUCACUGCACAGACGAUGGCAGGUUCAGACCUGUGCAGUGCAGUGUGCGGGCUCAGGAGUGUUGGUGUGUUGAUGCUGAAGGUCAGGAGCUCAUUGGGACUCGAACCAACAACUCUGCUCUUCACUGCCCGUCUCCCUGCCAGCUUCAGGCCGUCCUGCAGUGCUCUUCCUCAGGACUCUUUGAGUCAGUCCAGUGUGACCCCAGUGGGGGACAAUGUUGGUGUGUGGAUCAGGACGGCAUGGAGCUGUAUGGGACCAGACAGACCGGGAGGCCUCAC